UGUAUGUAUAAGUCUCCCGUAAAUUAAUUUUUUACAUAAAUUUUUAGAUAAACUUCCACACGAAUUCUAGGUGCAAGCGAGUCGGAUAGAGAAACGUUCGCUUACAAACCGAAGAGUACAGGUGCUUAGGGCAUUCACCUUCGUUCAAGUGAGCAAAGAGAGUUCAAGGUCGCCGAAACACGUGGUAAAUCAUUGCAGUGGGAACGCUUGCAUCUCGGCGAGAUGAAAAAGGAAGGAUGCGCGUAAGCGUAUAAAAAAAUAUACAUCUAAAGUUAGAAUUUAAUUUGCUAAGUUAAAAAUUUAAAUAUCUCGAAUUAUGUGCUUCUAAUGGUAAUCCACUAUAAGCUGCAUAUAAUUGGCUGGGAGACUUAAAGAUAUCAUAUAACAGAGUGAAAAGAUCGUUACCCUGAUCCAGGCUAAGCGUCAAACAAUUCAGUAGAUUGCGAUCGAUUUUGAUCUGAAGAAGUCCGAGGCACUUUCGCGCGAUGACUGACACUGACUGCGAUUCUGGCAUAGCCGUAGGGGAACGAAGGCCUUUAGUAUAUCGUGGGACGCGCGAGACAUCCCCUCCUUCACGAUACCAUACCGGCACGCACACUAUGCCCUUGUCUUGCUCCACUCCAGCCGCUCAUUUUAUGAUUCUUGUCUAAAGAGUUCCUCCUCCUUUCACAUUGCACACCGCGCUCUUGUCGCUGCAAAUGAGGUGACGAAAAGCAGGACGUGCCUGUGUUUGCCGCUUACAACACAACAUGUUACUUAAUUAAUGAAAGCGUAGCUCAUCUUCGGCGUCUCGAUUAAGCAACUGCCGCAAUCUUUGGUUGUAGGAACCUGUUUCGAGGCGACUAAUAAUAUAAUCGUGCGAAA
Pogonomyrmex barbatus (red harvester ant) is the source of this 864-nucleotide long non-coding RNA. The record is from RefSeq and is a predicted model, not a curated record. NCBI's taxonomy places the organism in Eukaryota, Metazoa, Arthropoda, Insecta, Hymenoptera, Formicidae.